UACGGAGGGUGCAAGCGUUAAUCGGAAUUACUGGGCGUAAAGCGCGCGUAGGCGGCAUGUUAAGUCGGAUGUGAAAUCCCAGGGCUUAACCUUGGAACUGCAUCCGAAACUGGCAAGCUAGAGAUCGGUAGAGGUUGGUGGAAUUCCCGGUGUAGCGGUGAAAUGCGUAGAUAUCGGGAGGAACAUCGAUGGCGAGGCAGCCAAACUGGGCCUGAUCUGACGCUGAGGUACGAAAGCGUGGGGAGCAAACAGGAUUAGAUACCCGCGUAGUCC
Molecule: ribosomal RNA, 273 nt
Filed under: uncultured bacterium
Lineage: Bacteria
Description: partial 16S ribosomal RNA
Rfam family: Bacterial small subunit ribosomal RNA
Source: RNAcentral